RNAcentral lists this long non-coding RNA (201 nucleotides) under Lathyrus oleraceus (garden pea). Its description in RNAcentral is "Pisum sativum (pea) long non-coding RNA (PSAT_LNC037631)". The record is from RNAcentral. Lineage: Eukaryota; Viridiplantae; Streptophyta; Magnoliopsida; Fabales; Fabaceae.
UCAUGAGUUCGAUUCCCAAUCAUAGCAUGGUAUAUAAUAAUUGGCGCUCUUGCUAUCACCUCGGUCAUCUUAAUCAACCCUAGUGAAAUACUUUUUUUUUAAUAUUUUUUUUAUUUAAUCCAUACUUUCCUAUUUUUUUAGUACAUGUAUUUUAUAUGUUAUAUUUUACCACAACACAACUAGAAAAUACUUAUAUCUUUG